This 997-nucleotide long non-coding RNA is filed under the name Marmota monax (woodchuck). Lineage: Eukaryota; Metazoa; Chordata; Mammalia; Rodentia; Sciuridae. The record is from RNAcentral.
GGCAGUUGGAGGGGGACUUUGCCCCACAUGGAAUGUUUAGCAAAAUCUGGAAACAUUAGUUUCCUUGAGUUUGAGGAAGUUGGUAUUACUUAUUUGCUGGAGAUCCUACCAAUGCACCAGGCAACUUCCUCCUGACCUCAACAAAGAAUCAUCUGAUCCAAAAUGAUGGUAGUGUCCCUGUUGAGAUGUUUUCCUGUGAAAAAUGGAAAGCCAGAUUGUAUUUUUAGUGAACUCUUAAUGGGAGGGGAGCUUGUUUGAUAAGGGUACUAAUGAAUAUGAAUCUAUGCUACCUCACAACCUUGUUAUCAGUGCUUAUAACGGGCAGCAAAAAGUUUCAAAAUACAUUGUGCAGAACUAAGAAAUGUAAAUAGCAUAAUAGGCUGGUUACAAUGUUAUUUUCCUUGUCAAAAAUUUAUAGUGCAACUAAAAAUCUUAUUGCUGUAAAUUUGUUGCAAUGACUUUGGAAAUUAAUAGGCAGUAGCCAUUGUAUUGCAGCUGAAUGUAAUGCCAACCUUAUAAUUCAACAAUUUCACUUGUAAGUAUAUACCCAUUGAAAUGAAUGCUUAUGUCUACUAAAAGUCUUGUAUAAUAAUAUUUAGCAGUUUGAUUCAUUAUAGCCCCAAACUGGAACAAAGCGAAGACUUUGAUAUACACAUAAAAUAUAUAUGGGGAUUAUAUGUAUAUAUAUAUAUAUACAUAUAUAUUAUGUACACACACACACACAUACACACACACACACAGAAUACUACUCACCAAUUAAGAAGAAGCUGCUAUGUGAAUAACAUGGGUGUAUCUCACAGUCAUUGUGUUGAGUGAUAUAGACACAAAAGAAUUCACAUCCCUGGGUUUAAUCCCCAAUACACCACCCCCCAAAAAUGGCAGGUGCACUGGUGCACUCCUGUAAUCCUAGGGACUUGGAAGGAUGAAGCAGAAAAGGAUUGCAAAUUCAAGGCCAGCUGCAGCAAUUUUGUGAGGCCCUCAGCAACUUAGCACGACC